This 468-nucleotide ribosomal RNA is filed under the name uncultured bacterium. RNAcentral's name for it is "partial 16S ribosomal RNA". It matches the Rfam family "Bacterial small subunit ribosomal RNA", at positions 28 to 507 of the family's 1533-position model. The record is from RNAcentral.
GACGAACGCUGGCGGCGUACUUAACACAUGCAAGUCGAACGGAAAGGCCCUGCUUUUGUGGGGUGCUCGAGUGGCGAACGGGUGAGUAACACGUGAGUAACCUGCCCUUGACUUUGGGAUAACUUCAGGAAACUGGGGCUAAUACCGGAUAGGAGCUCCUGCUGCAUGGUGGGGGUUGGAAAGUUUCGGCGGUUGGGGAUGGACUCGCGGCUUAUCAGCUUGUUGGUGGGGUAGUGGCUUACCAAGGCUUUGACGGGUAGCCGGCCUGAGAGGGUGACCGGCCACAUUGGGACUGAGAUACGGCCCAGAAUCCUACGGGAGGCAGCAGUGGGGAAUAUUGCACAAUGGGCGGAAGCCUGAUGCAGCAACGCCGCGUGCGGGAUGACGGCCUUCGGGUUGUAAACCGCUUUCGCCUGUGACGAAGCGUGAGUGACGGUAAUGGGUAAAGAAGCACCGGCUAACUACGUG